AAAAAAAAAAGGUAAAGGGUCUUUUUCUCUAGCAGAAGGGAAAAAAAAAAACAAAACCAGAUGAACAUCUUUCUUGGAUCACCUGCUAGAGGCUAAACAAAAUGGGACAGUGACCCCUGAAGGAGCAUAGGAUUAGUAGGAGUCCAUAGACCUUGCUCCCGACCCACCACCUUGAGGGCUUGCUGAGCAACCUCACUUCAGACAUUUUAACUCUUGCAGCCCAUUUCUGCAUCUAUAAAAUGGCUAUGAUACCUGAUAAGCUCUCCUCACAAGGGGCUUAUGAUCAAGAGUGGUGUUUGACUAUAAACCAUACUAAGAGAUACCAUUUAUUGGGUGCUGUGCACUAAAGAUAAUGCUAUGCACCUUUUGUGGAUUUUCACUCUAUGAAGUUGUUACUGUCAUCCCCAUUCAACAGAUGAGGAAACUGAGGUCCAGAGAGCUUAAGUAACUUUCCCAGGUUCUCACGAUUCGUAAAAGCAGAGCUAGAUUUUGAACCCAGAUCACAGACUCCAGAUCUAUCUGAUCCCAAAGCCCAUGCUUUUAACCACCCUGCUCUACACCUUCUAGGCUGAAAACAGUGGGAGGGAAUAGAAGAAUAUUGAGUGUCAGACGUGUCCCUAACCCUGCCUCAGGUGAGAAAACACCCAGAGAAUGGGGGCUCAUGUAGCAGAGAACGGAGAAGCAUCAGCUCCCACAUCACAGAUGCUCAGGCCUGGAGAACUCGCUGUUGCCAAGAUGCUCCAACCUGGCAGCCCAGCCUCAGGCAAAGCCUGGCUGAAUGUUGCCCAUGCUCUGGGUCUUAUCUUGGACUCCAUCUCCCCCAGGAUCCCCUCUGCCAGACUCCCCCAUCAGAGCACCCAUCACGCUGCCUUCUGACUGCCUGGCUCCUUGCUCAUCACUCAAGUGGACCUGAGGUCAGGACCAGAGAUCAGGACUCCAUACAUCUCAUUUUCUUCUGUGUUCCUAGCAGCUAGCUCAGUGCCUGGCACUUAAAAGGUGCCCGGAACUGUUCCUUAAAUAAAUAAAUGAAGGCAAAUAGGUUACUCUGACCC
Molecule: long non-coding RNA, 1052 nt
Filed under: Vulpes vulpes (red fox)
Lineage: Eukaryota; Metazoa; Chordata; Mammalia; Carnivora; Canidae
Description: lncRNA (ENSVVUG00000014515.1)
Source: RNAcentral